GAUGAACGCUAGCGGGAGGCCUAACACAUGCAAGCCGACCGGUAGAGUUCCUUCGGGAACUUGAGAGCGGCGUACGGGUGCGUAACACGUAUGCAACCUACCUUUAUCUGGGGGAUAGCCUUUCGAAAGGAAGAUUAAUACCCCAUAAUAUAAUGAUUGGCAUCAAUUAUUAUUGAAAACUCCGGUGGAUAGAGAUGGGCACGCGCAAGAUUAGAUAGUUGGUGAGGUAACGGCUCACCAAGUCAAUGAUCUUUAGGGGUCCUGAGAGGGAGAUCCCCCACACGGGUACUGAGACACGGCCCAAACCCCAACGGGGGGCAGAGGUGGGGAAUAUGAGAAAAUGGGUGAAAGCCUUACCCAGCCAUCCCGUGUAAAGGAUUACGUUCCUAUGGAUUUUAAACUUCUUUUUAAAAGGAAAAAACCUACUCGCGUGAGGGUAGCGGAAGGUACUGUACGAAAGAGCACCGGCUAACCCCGU
RNAcentral lists this ribosomal RNA (478 nucleotides) under uncultured bacterium. RNAcentral describes it as "partial 16S ribosomal RNA". It matches the Rfam family "Bacterial small subunit ribosomal RNA", at positions 28 to 506 of the family's 1533-position model. The record is from RNAcentral.